Alexandromys fortis (reed vole) is the source of this 1831-nucleotide long non-coding RNA. RefSeq lists it as uncharacterized. The transcript is spliced from 3 exons. NCBI's taxonomy places the organism in Eukaryota, Metazoa, Chordata, Mammalia, Rodentia, Cricetidae. The record is from RefSeq and is a predicted model, not a curated record.
GCAGUGGUGGCACACACCUUUGAUCCCAGCACUUGGGAGACAAAGGCAGGAGGAUCCCUGUGAGUUUGAGACCAGCCUGGUCUAUAGAGUGAGUUCCUGGACUGAAUAAGAAGGCUACACAUAGAAACCCUGUCUCAAAAAAACCAAAUAAAUAAAUAAAUAAGCAAACAAACAAACAAAUAAAUAAAUAAAUAAGAGACUUUGUACCUUUUUAAGGUUUGUUUGUAUUUUGUGCGUGUGUGUGUGUGCGUGUGUGUGUGUGUGUGUGUGUGUGUGUGGUGUGUUCUGGAGAGAAGUGUUCAUUUCCUUUCCUAACUUUUCUCUUCCCCCAUCUUCUCUCCUGCUCCUGUCUCUCCCUUAAUCCUUCCCUCCCUUCCUCCUCCUCCUCCUCCCCCUCCCCCCUCUCUGCUAGAAAGACUAUUUCACAGUGUUCUCUUCCACCUUCAGUUACAUCAUUGUACCCUCUUUGAUCUGAGAGACCCGCCUUCCACAGUUGGUGUACUGUUGCUGCCAACUGAUGUGACGUCAAUUGGUUUGAUCACAUCCACCCACUACUUCCCUCCUCCAACUUUCCCCAAACCACCCCCUCACGUCUUCCUCCUUAAGUCAUAGCUCAUUCUUUUCCUUUUUAGUUCACCCACUGAGUCUGAUUGGCGCACCUCUAUGCCCACGCACUGGGAACCUACCAGAGGCCACACUCCAAAGAAUGACUCACCCUCCUUUGGCACCACCAACUACUGAUGGUCCUCAGUGAGGGUAGGGCCUCCUGAGGUGCUCGCCUGUUCCUGCGGGAGUUUUCAGUGGCUUGAUCUUAUGCAGUGAACCAUGGCCAUUCCUAACAGUGACCUGUGAAGUCUCCAAAAGGAUGAUGAAGCCCCACAGCAAUAAAUUCACCUGGAUUGUGGUAACACCAGAUAAACUAACAAACACCACCCAAAGAUCAGCUUUGGACUAUAAACUACUCAGGAAAACUUCACAACAUUUAGCCAAGAGGAUCCUACUGUGGAAUAUUAGUUGACAAUGUCCUACAUUUAUUUAUGCUGUGGAACAUUUGUUUAAUGAUGCAAAAAUGUGUUGCCUUCUUUUAUGUUGCAUUUGUUUAACUCUGUGAAGCUGUGUUACCUUGCCUGCCUAAAACACCUGAUUGGUCUAAUGAAGAGCUGAAUGGCCAAUAGCUAGGCAAGAGAAGGAUAGUUGGGGCUGGCAGGCAGAGAUAAUAAAUAGAAGGAGAAAUCUGGGAAGAAAAGAUUGAGGAACGAGAAAAGGAGAAGAAGAGGAGGACAUCAGGGGGCAGCCACCCAACUACACAGACAGCCAUGAAGUAAGAAGUAAGAAGGGACAUGGAAAAAGAUAAAGGCCCAGAGACAAGAAGUAGAUGGGAAAAUUAAAAAAAAAAAAAACUGGGUAAAAAGUAAGCCAAACUAAGACCAGAUAUUUGUAAGUAAUAAUAAGAGUCUGUGUGACUCUGGGCAGCAGGCCUCCUAAAGAGUAAAAAAACAACAAAAAACAAUCCCCCCCAAUCAUGGUCCAGUUUUAGAGACUGCUCAAGUUAGGACUUCAGAUAAAUACUGCACUUUGGACAACAGAUAGCUCUCCUAGGACUUGAUCUUUAUCUCAAUUUUUUUUCAGGAUCUCCUAAAGAUGCCGUCAUCCUCAGACAACAGGAAAUAAUUUUAAGAACAUGAUGCCCACAUUCUCAAGAGCACUGGCGGUGAGCAUGCAAUAGAGGGAGCUCUCUAUGCGCAGCAGAACUACGAAGCUCAUGAGAGGAACGAUGCCCCCUGACCGGACAAGGCCGCUGCACCCAUGAACCUGCACCCGAUUAAGUCAG